UGAGGAAUAUUGGUCAAUGGACGAGAGUCUGAACCAGCCAAGUAGCGUGAAGGAUGAAGGUUCUAUGGAUUGUAAACUUCUUUUAUACGGGAAUAAACGAAUCCACGCGUGGAUUUUUGCAUGUACCGUAUGAAUAAGGAUCGGCUAACUCCGUGCCAGCAGCCGCGGUAAUACGGAGGAUCCGAGCGUUAUCCGGAUUUAUUGGGUUUAAAGGGAGCGUAGAUGGGUUGUUAAGUCAGUUGUGAAAGUUUGCGGCUCAACCGUAAAAUUGCAAUUGAUACUGGCAGUCUUGAGUACAGUUGAGGUAGGCGGAAUUCGUGGUGUAGCGGUGAAAUGCUUAGAUAUCACGAAGAACUCCGAUUGCGAAGGCAGCUUACUAACCUGUAACUGACAUUGAUGCUCGAAAGUGUGGGUAUCAAACAGGAUUAGAUACCCUGGUAGUCCACACGGUAAACGAUGAAUACUCGCUGUAGGCGAUAUACGGUCUGCGGCCAAGCGAAAGCAUUAAGUAUUCCACCUGGGGAGUACGCCGGCAACGGUGAAACUCAAAGGAAUUGACGGGGGCCCGCACAAGCGGAGGAACAUGUGGUUUAAUUCGAUGAUACGCGAGGAACCUUACCCGGGCUUAAAUUGCAACCGAAUAUGGCGGAAACGCCAUAGCUAGCAAUAGCGGUUGUGAAGGUGCUGCAUGGUUGUCGUCAGCUCGUGCCGUGAGGUGUCGGCUUAAGUGCCAUAACGAGCGCAACCCUUGCCGAUAGUUACUAACAGGUUAUGCUGAGGACUCUGUCGGGACUGCCAUCGUAAGAUGUGAGGAAGGUGGGGAUGACGUCAAAUCAGCACGGCCCUUACGUCCGGGGCUACACACGUGUUACAAUGGGGGGUACAGAGGGCUGCUACCACGCAAGUGGAUGCCAAUCCCAAAAACCUCUCUCAGUUCGGAUUGAAGUCUGCAACCCGACUUCAUGAAGCUGGAUUCGCUAGUAAUCGCGCGUCAGCCACGGCGCGGUGAAUACGUUCCC
Molecule: ribosomal RNA, 1019 nt
Filed under: uncultured bacterium
Lineage: Bacteria
Also listed under: 1 other name
Description: bacterial SSU rRNA
Rfam family: Bacterial small subunit ribosomal RNA
Source: RNAcentral